RNAcentral lists this ribosomal RNA (472 nucleotides) under uncultured bacterium. RNAcentral's name for it is "partial 16S ribosomal RNA". It matches the Rfam family "Bacterial small subunit ribosomal RNA", at positions 28 to 507 of the family's 1533-position model. The record is from RNAcentral.
GACGAACGCUGGCGGCGUGCUUAACACAUGCAAGUCGAACGAUGAACCCGGAGCUUGCUCUGGGGGAUUAGUGGCGAACGGGUGAGUAACACGUGAGUAACCUGCCCUGGACUCUGGGAUAAGCGUUGGAAACGACGUCUAAUACCGGAUAGGACCUUGGAUCGCAUGAUCUGGGGUGGAAAGUUUUUUCGGUCUGGGAUGGACUCGCGGCCUAUCAGCUUGUUGGUGAGGUAAUGGCUCACCAAGGCGUCGACGGGUAGCCGGCCUGAGAGGGUGACCGGCCACACUGGGACUGAGACACGGCCCAGACUCCUACGGGAGGCAGCAGUGGGGAAUAUUGCACAAUGGGCGAAAGCCUGAUGCAGCAACGCCGCGUGCGGGAUGACGGCCUUCGGGUUGUAAACCGCUUUUAGUAGGGAAGAAGGGCUUCGGCUUGACGGUACCUGCAGAAAAAGGACCGGCUAAUUACGUG